CAUGCAAGUCGAACGAUGAACCUCCUUCGGGAGGGGAUUAGUGGCGAACGGGUGAGUAACACGUGGGCAAUCUGCCCUGCACUCUGGGACAAGCCCUGGAAACGGGGUCUAAUACCGGAUACUGACCCGCUUGGGCAUCCAAGCGGUUCGAAAGCUCCGGCGGUGCAGGAUGAGCCCGCGGCCUAUCAGCUUGUUGGUGAGGUAAUGGCUCACCAAGGCGACCACGGGUAGCCGGCCUGAGAGGGCGACCGGCCACACUGGGACUGAGACACGGCCCAGACUCCUACGGGAGGCAGCAGUGGGGAAUAUUGCACAAUGGGCGAAAGCCUGAUGCAGCGACGCCGCGUGAGGGAUGACGGCCUUCGGGUUGUAAACCUCUUUCAGCAGGGAAGAAGCGAAAGUGACGGUACCUGCAGAAGAAGCGCCGGCUAACUACGUGCCAGCAGCCGCGGUAAUACGUAGGGCGCGAGCGUUGUCCGGAAUUAUUGGGCGUAAAGAGCUCGUAGGCGGCUUGUCACGUCGGUUGUGAAAGCCCGGGGCUUAACCCCGGGUCUGCAGUCGAUACGGGCAGGCUAGAGUUCGGUAGGGGAGAUCGGAAUUCCUGGUGUAGCGGUGAAAUGCGCAGAUAUCAGGAGGAACACCGGUGGCGAAGGCGGAUCUCUGGGCCGAUACUGACGCUGAGGAGCGAAAGCGUGGGGAGCGAACAGGAUUAGAUACCCUGGUAGUCCACGCCGUAAACGGUGGGCACUG
This 750-nucleotide ribosomal RNA is filed under the name Streptomyces sp. 1C61. Its description in RNAcentral is "bacterial SSU rRNA". It matches the Rfam family "Bacterial small subunit ribosomal RNA", at positions 54 to 818 of the family's 1533-position model. The record is from RNAcentral. Lineage: Bacteria; Bacillati; Actinomycetota; Actinomycetes; Kitasatosporales; Streptomycetaceae.